GGUUAAGUUAAUAAGGGCGCACGGUGGAUGCCUUGGCACUAGAAGCCGAUGAAGGACGUGACUAACGACGAAAUGCUUUGGGGAGCUGUAAGUGAGCAAUGAUCCAGAGAUGUCCGAAUGGGGGAACCCGGCAGGUAAUGCCUGUCACUCAUUACUGUUAAGGUAAUGUAGAGGAAGACGCAGUGAACUGAAACAUCUAAGUAGCUGCAGGAAGAGAAAGCAAAAGCGAUUGCCUUAGUAGCGGCGAGCGAAACGGCAAGAGGGCAAACCGAAGAGUUUACUCUUCGGGGUUGUAGGACUGCAACGUGGACUUAAAGAUUAUAGAAGAACUACCUGGGAAGGUAGGCCAAAGAGAGUAAUAGCCUCGUAUUCGAAAUAGUCUUUAUACCUAGCAGUAUCCUGAGUACGGCGAGACACGAGAAAUCUCGUCGGAAUCUGGGAGGACCAUCUCCCAACCCUAAAUACUCUUUAGUGACCGAUAGUGAACCAGUACCGUGAGGGAAAGGUGAAAAGCACCCCGGGAGGGGAGUGAAAUAGAACCUGAAACCGUGUGCCUACAACAAGUUCGAGCCCGUUAAUGGGUGAGAGCGUGCCUUUUGUAGAAUGAACCGGCGAGUUACGAUAUGAUGCGAGGUUAAGUUGAAGAGACGGAGCCGUAGGGAAACCGAGUCUUAAUAGGGCGCAUUAGUAUCAUGUCGUAGACCCGAAACCAUGUGACCUACCCAUGAGCAGGUUGAAGGUGAGGUAAAACUCACUGGAGGACCGAACCAGGGCACGUUGAAAAGUGCUUGGAUGACUUGUGGGUAGCGGAGAAAUUCCAAACGAACUUGGAGAUAGCUGGUUCUCUCCGAAAUAGCUUUAGGGCUAGCGUCGAUGUUAAGUCUCUUGGAGGUAGAGCACUGUUUGGGUGAGGGGUCCAUCCCGGAUUACCAAUCUCAGAUAAACUCCGAAUGCCAAUGAGAUAUAAUCGGCAGUCAGACUGCGAGUGCUAAGAUCCGUAGUCGAAAGGGAAACAGCCCAGACCACCAGCUAAGGUCCCAAAAUAUAUGUUAAGUGGAAAAGGAUGUGGGGUUGCACAGACAACUAGGAUGUUAGCUUAGAAGCAGCUAUUCAUUCAAAGAGUGCGUAAUAGCUCACUAGUCGAGUGACCCUGCGCCGAAAAUGUACCGGGGCUAAAACAUAUUACCGAAGCUGUGGAUACCUUUAUAGGUAUGGUAGGAGAGCGUUCUAUGUGCGAAGAAGGUGUACCGUGAGGAGUGCUGGAGCGCAUAGAAGUGAGAAUGCCGGUAUGAGUAGCGAAAGACAGGUGAGAAUCCUGUCCACCGUAAGACUAAGGUUUCCAGGGGAAGGCUCGUCCGCCCUGGGUUAGUCGGGACCUAAGGAGAGACCGAAAGGUGUAUCCGAUGGACAACAGGUUGAUAUUCCUGUACUAGAGUAUAUAGUGAUGGAGGGACGCAGUAGGCUAACUAAACCAGACGAUUGGAAGUGUCUGGCCAAGCAGUGAGGUGUGAUAUGAGUCAAAUGCUUAUAUCUUUAACAUUGAGCUGUGAUGGGGAGCGAAGUUUAGUAGCGAAGUUAGUGAUGUCACACUGCCGAGAAAAGCUUCUAGCGUUAAUUAUACUCUACCCGUACCGCAAACCGACACAGGUAGUCGAGGCGAGUAGCCUCAGGUGAGCGAGAGAACUCUCGUUAAGGAACUCGGCAAAAUGGCCCCGUAACUUCGGGAGAAGGGGCGCUGACUGAUGGUCAGCCGCAGUGAAUAGGCCCAAGCAACUGUUUAUCAAAAACACAGCUCUCUGCUAAAUCGUAAGAUGAUGUAUAGGGGGUGACGCCUGCCCGGUGCUGGAAGGUUAAGAGGAGUGCUUAGCGUAAGCGAAGGCAUGAAUUGAAGCCCCAGUAAACGGCGGCCGUAACUAUAACGGUCCUAAGGUAGCGAAAUUCCUUGUCGGGUAAGUUCCGACCCGCACGAAAGGCGUAAUGAUUUGGGCACUGUCUCAACGAGAGACUCGGUGAAAUUUUAGUACCUGUGAAGAUGCAGGUUACCCGCGACAGGACGGAAAGACCCCAUGGAGCUUUACUGCAGUUUGAUAUUGAGUAUCUGUACCACAUGUACAGGAUAGGUAGGAGCCUAUGACCUCGGGACGCCAGUUUCGAGUGAGGCGUUGUUGGGAUACUACCCUUGUGUUAUGGCUACUCUAACCCAGAUAGGUUAUCCCUAUCGGAGACAGUGUCUGACGGGCAGUUUGACUGGGGCGGUCGCCUCCUAAAAGGUAACGGAGGCGCCCAAAGGUUCCCUCAGAAUGGUUGGAAAUCAUUCGCAGAGUGUAAAGGUAUAAGGGAGCUUGACUGCGAGAGCUACAACUCGAGCAGGGACGAAAGUCGGGCUUAGUGAUCCGGUGGUUCCGUAUGGAAGGGCCAUCGCUCAACGGAUAAAAGCUACCCUGGGGAUAACAGGCUUAUCUCCCCCAAGAGUUCACAUCGACGGGGAGGUUUGGCACCUCGAUGUCGGCUCGUCGCAUCCUGGGGCUGUAGUCGGUCCCAAGGGUUGGGCUGUUCGCCCAUUAAAGCGGCACGCGAGCUGGGUUCAGAACGUCGUGAGACAGUUCGGUCCCUAUCCGUCGCGGGCGUAGGAAAUUUGAGAGGAUCUGCUCCUAGUACGAGAGGACCAGAGUGGACUUACCGCUGGUGUACCAGUUGUUCUGCCAAGAGCAUCGCUGGGUAGCUAUGUAGGGAAGGGAUAAACGCUGAAAGCAUCUAAGUGUGAAGCCCACCUCAAGAUGAGAUUUCCCAUGAUUUUAUAUCAGUAAGAGCCCUGAGAGAUGAUCAGGUUGAUAGGUUAGAAGUGGAAGUGUGGUGACACAUGUAGCGGACUAAUACUAAUAGCUCGAGGACUUAUCCAA
RNAcentral lists this ribosomal RNA (2900 nucleotides) under Streptococcus thermophilus. RNAcentral describes it as "bacterial LSU rRNA". It matches the Rfam family "Bacterial large subunit ribosomal RNA". Lineage: Bacteria; Bacillati; Bacillota; Bacilli; Lactobacillales; Streptococcaceae. The record is from RNAcentral.